Sus scrofa (pig) is the source of this 9235-nucleotide non-coding RNA. Lineage: Eukaryota; Metazoa; Chordata; Mammalia; Artiodactyla; Suidae. The record is from RefSeq and is a predicted model, not a curated record.
AUAUAAUUUUAUAUAUUUUAUAUAUACAAUAUGUACAUACUUAUAUAUAUUGUAUAUACAUACACAUAUUAUACAUGUACAUACACACACACACAUACACGUGCUACUUCUUCACUUCCUCUCAAUCUAGAGUAAGCAUCCAGCAUUCCCCCCCACUGGGUAUUCCCCUUCCUAACCCCUUCAUCUGGUCCAGGACAAUUAGGGUCACUUUAUUUUAUGCAAAUGUAUUAGUCUCCUAGAAUUAGCAGAACAAAACACCACAAACAGAGUGAUUUAGAACAACAGAAAAUUUAUUGUCUCAUGGUUCUAGAGGCUGAAAGUCAAAAUGAAAGUGUUGGCAGGGCCACAGAGGGAAAAUACUUCCUUGCCUUGUCCCAGUUUCCGGGUUUGCUGGCAGUCUUUAGCAUUCCUUGCUUGCAGCUGUGUAACCCCAGUCUCUGCCUUCAUUGUUACAUGACAUUCACCCUGUGUGUCUCUGUUCCUUUGCGUAACCUUCUUCUAAGGACACCAGUCAUAUCAGAUCCGGGGCUCAUGGAUCCAGGAUGACCUCAACUACUUCCAUCUGCAGUGAUCUUUCUAAAUAAGGCUGGUUGAUAAGAACUUGUGCAGCUUUUCCAUCUGGGCCUCUUGGAGCACUUGCUUUUGAAAUUCAGCCAUCAUGCCAUGAGGAAGCCAAACUGGCCCCAAGGAGUGGCCUCUGGCCAACAGCCCCAGAUGAACUCCCAGCUGACACCCGCACCAACUUUACAGCCAUAUGACAGCUAUGUUUCUUGUUUGAUUCUCAAAUUGAAACCAUGGGUAAAGAGUCAAAUCCAUUUCACUUGCUUUCACCAAUCAAGGUCUUUUUAAGUCUUAAUGCAUCUUUUAAGCUGCAUGGAGCCUAAAGAGUAAGACAUUUGCCUGAGCUGUCUUCAGGAACUUAAGAGUCUCAGCUGUGUCUAGUUUGGGCUGAGCUGAUGAGACUGGAUAGGACCACUAAUCCCUCAGCUGGGCCUGUGUGCAAGUCUGCUGGUGACCUGGUGAACCUGUGGAGGUCUGAAGCCUAGUUACGCCUGCGCAGAAGGACAAUUCCCGCACCAUUUUCCAAUCACCUUUCUUCACCCUCCCCACACUGUUGGUGCUUCCCAUGCCUCAGACUGCUGUCUCCUUAUUCCUGACCUCAUAAAUACCCUGAGCCUGCUGGUUUUGUAGGGGGGUUUGUGCAUGUGUACCUUCACUCAGGACACUUGCACCCCAAAUCUGGGCUUGUGCACUCUGGCUUUGGAGCCCAUGCAGGAAAAAGGCAGAGUUUUUAGCCCUCUGCUGAAUAUUUUGGAGUUUUGAAUUUAAGGACAGAGAGCUGCUUCCUGAAGGAAGGGAAAGCUCUAGCCAGACUUACAGUUCCCACCAAGACAAUUUUAGGGCUUCUUGGAAUGGCUGGCAUUGCCACUUCUGGAUCCUUCCUUUGGACUCAUAGCAAAGCCCUUUGAACGAAGCCUUUAAAGGAGGAGACUGUGACCCUCUAGGACAAAAUCUUGGAGAAUAAACAUUCAGAAAACUGGCUCCAUCAUUGCUGGACUGGACCUUAUGAGCAAUAGAUGGGCAACGGAAAGCAUGUUUGACAAAAACCAGGACCAAGAUCAUCCAAACCUAGGCUGGUUCCAGACGCAGGCACUGACUUCUCCCAGGGGCCGGGUGAACCCCAACAGAUCUUAAGUUGUUUUCCCGAAACUGUGAGCAAGACAUCAAGAACUACUUCUGCAUAAAUGACCUUGGGCUCCACCUGCGCCUGCCCCAGACUCCCGAGUCUGAUCCUAAUUAAUUGCACUCUCUUGAUGAUUCCAUGGAUUCUGGAGUCUGUUUGUGCCAGGAAUUCAGACAGGAAUGUUCCACAUGCUCCAGUGAGAACUGAAAAGUGAGUCCAGUAUACAAGGAAGGCCCCAAGUAAGUGAGAGGGCAACUUAGACAAAAUCAGAAUUCUUCUCUUAUUUUUGGCCUAACUCGUGAUAUGGUAAAAGUGUCAAUAGGUUCUUUGGAAAUAAAACAAUCUACUUCCCCGAAGCCUUGUUGGGCAGAGGCUCACCUUCCCUGGGCUCCUCCCAGUGAAGUGCCCAGCAAGGCCCUUUCUGUUUCCCUUGUCAAAUAUGAAAGGCAGCCUCUGGAAGGACUUCCCACCCUCAGCCUCCUCUGUGCAGCCACAGUUCUGUUGUCACCAUUGAUCUCCACAUACGCAUAAACAACAGUCCAUGUGAUUAGCGCCGUGGGCUGGAGGUAAUAAUAGGAGCUUGUUGGGCCUGAGUCAGCUUAGUUUAUGUCUAGGCUGAACAUGUAAACUGUCUCCCUCUGUCAGACAGGGUGAUUUCAUUCCAAGAGUAGUGCUGGAUGGUGUGUGCCAUGCAUCACGCAAAUGAAUAAAUAAAUCCAAGUGGUAAUUGAAUUUCUGCAUUCAUGAUAAGCAUUCCUUGUAAAGGAAAAGAAAGAACACUCAGCAGGGACAAAGAAAGGUGUCCAGGGUAAGGUCUCAUUCUAGCGUGAUUUGUAGCAUCAGAGGGCAACGUGGUGGCAAUACAGAUGAGGGGAUGCAGAGCAUGGAAAAUUCCCCCAACAGGUCUAUUCCAUGGAGAGGCUAAGACCAAAGCGAGCAGGUAUUUUCUGAGUAAGAUUCUUGUCCAACCUUUUCCGUGUAAGUUUUUAUAUGCCUGGAAUCCUUUGCCUGGGAGACAACAGAGGGCAGUGAUUAUGAACACAGGUUCUGGAGACAUGGGGGCCUGAAUUUUCUGGGUGUGUCAUUUUCUAGCUGUAGAGCACUAGGCAGGCUGAUUUCUCAUCAGGAAGGUUGUGGUAAUAAUCUCACUCAGAUGGUCAGAAGGACUAAAUUGGUUUGUUUGCAUUAUUUGUUCUUGGCCAGCACCCCCUAGUAGGAACUCAUGGAUGGGUUCCUUUUAGGGCAUCAAUAGCUGACGCAGCCCCCAAGACACCAAGACCCCGGUUCCUUCAGGUCUUCCUACAUUCCUUCCUCCAUGAUACACCAAGAGUACAGUAAAAGAUUUCCCAUUGAGUCUUUUCCCCAUAUGUUUGUAAACAACAACACCUCCACAGUGCUCCUCAGUGACUCACAUCACAGCAGAAGGCACGGGGGUUUGCUUAACUAAGACCUGUUUUCUGACAGCUCCUUAUGUGGCCCCUCUUCCAGGCUGCUCCAGGGCUUCCCUCUUCCCUUGGAUCAGCAGGUCAUCUGUGGACCGCUCCUUUAUUCCUGAAGGGUGCUGGCUGAUAAGACUCUCUGAAUUACCUCCUGGAUGUAAUGAAUGUCCACCAACACUAAGAUCCUGGGACCAUGGCUGACCUCAUGCAUCUCACACCUUCCUAGACCUGGGUUCUUCUCACCUGAUUUGAGCACACGUUUGUCCCAGCUCAAUUUUCUACUCCUAGAGAUCUUAGAACAUGGUCAGCUUACAGAGAAUUUAUGUAAAAUUGUGUGUGUAUAUACACAUGUCUCUACGUGCUUAUUUUCAUUAAAGGGUACAUGUUGUUUAUGAUUCUCAAGCUGUCAGCUGCCUUCCCAAACAUUAGGACCCAUCCAUAGUAACUGGUGUCUAUUAUCCUGCAGAAAUCCUGGGGGCACAGAACUUGGAAGAGCUAGGGGUUCUUGGUUCCAUUCUAAUCUGGGUCUCUGGAAGCACAGCUUUAUAAAGCCUCAGUUCUCCUGCCUUUCUUUCCUUAUCUACUCUCUCUCUCCAGUCCCUCAGGGUAAGUUUCAUUUCUUCACUAAAUUCUUUACCUGGGGAUGCUGCAGUGCCUAACUCGUCUCUUCUUCCUCCUCACUCCUCUUUAACAAAUAAUAGCCCUCUUCUUUUUUAAAACACUUGUGAAAAAUCACCCUCUUUAUACUCCCCUAGUAUGAAGUCCAUGUCACUGUCUUUGAUAGUGUCCCCAGCAUCUAGCCUGGAGCCAACCACAUGGUGCUGAUCGUAGAUAUUCCUGGAGUGCCUGGAAUUAUCCUCCCUGAGUCUGCAACUUCUGCCAGUGGUUCCGUGUCCUCCCCCUCAUUGUUUUCAGAGGUUCUGUGCAAAGAAAAGGGUCUGUUUUCCUUCCACUUCUACUCUGAUGGAGGACUGUAUAAUGCUUGAAUCCCGGAAACAUUUUUGGUGGAUCAAAUGAAAUCAGGUAUAGAGAAUGUUUAGCUCGGUGCCUGGCACAGAGUGGGGAUAAAUAGCUGAUGACAAAUAUUGUUGGUACUAUUCCAUAGUUCAUGAUUCAGUGAAACUUAGUGUAGGUAACUCCUUUGUGUUUAGCGAUAAAAUGUGUCAUCUUCACUAUGCUCUGUGGGCGCGGAGAGAAGUCUCCACACCGUAUUCAUCAGCAAGUGGGCAGGUAAGAGCUCCUGGCUCUGGCAGUGGAAUACGCAGGCCGGCACACUGCAGUGGAGCGUGUCAUUGUCAGAUGACAGCCCCUCAGGCUGUCUGCUGUCCGGUACUAGCAGUGGGAAGGAGGUAACAGCUGCUUCCCAUGCUCCUGGUAAUUAUGAUGGAGGAUGAUUCAAUUCCACAUAGGAUCCACGACCGGAAGGGAACAAUCUGGGCUAAGUCAGCAGGUGCCUAAUGAAAUUGUUUAGCCUGGGCUGCAGCCUUACCUACCACAAGCUGUGAUCUACUGUGUUCUGACAAAGCAGUCCUGGGAGAUCAUGCUGUUUGGGUAGGGGACGUGAUCAGUAAAAUUCACUCCUGGCAUCCGACCUUCCAAAUUUAUACUGUGACCCAGGUGAUGUGUAGGUUGGAUUGGGGAAUAACUUGCUUUCUGUGGCCAAAGAGGGUUCUCUCUUUAAAUGAAAGAGCAUCACUUCUUUAAGGUGCCCUCCCCAAAUCAGCAGGCACCUUUUCCAGGGCUGCGGAGGCUACCUCUUUAAUGAUUUCCCAUCGCUCUAUAUUGCUUCUGGAGACCACCCAUGGAAAAUGAAUCAGAUGUAUUUUCAUACGGGUUUCAAUUAGAUGCUCAGUUUAUAAGUAUGCCACAGUGUGGUUGUCAGUGAUAGGAAUCUCACACAGUAUUAAGCAACCAGAUUCUGGGUUUUAAAUUCUAUUUAUAUACCUCCUGCUACAGGUGUCCUGCCCCUUCUUUUCAAGCAGGAACUGAGUUGAGGAAAUUGAUCCCUGGGUGCCAAAUGAUGGUGCAAAUGGUUAUAAGGUCACCUUUAUUGAACCUCCUCCUAUGCUUUACUAGUGGAAGAAUACUGGGAGCUUGUAGGAAUGUGGCAUGGAGGUAGUUUGGAUUUUGUAGACUCAGACACAUCAGAAUGAGAGUGACAGCAGUCACCGUGACUUGGUAAGUGUAGUCUAGCCACCUCCAUCCAAGACUCCUGCUUAGGGUGCAUGUCUUUUCCAGCAUAUUUUGUGUGUCUGUCAACUCUGGCAUCCUGACCCAUGUGAUGUAGCAUUUCCAUGCACAUGUCUCAUCAUUAUGGGAUAUGAGUUUAGAUGCUUGAUGGAGAUAAGUUCUAGAACCAACACUGAUUGACUAAUAGCUCAACUUUGUGCCUGGACUGCUUUUUUUUUUUUAAUUUAAUUGCUGCAUGAAUUAUAUUGGCUGGAGUGGAGAGGAUGGGGGUAGGGAUGACUGAUUUCCCUGUUGAUUUAAUGAAAUUGAUAGUUUUUUUAAAAAACAAUUAAAAAACAGGCAAACAAAAUGGACUCAUUUCUCUUUCAAAGUAAAUUGUCUGCUUGUUGGACUGAAUUUGAUUAAAUCAUCUGGUUGUUCUGGCAUCAUGUAGACAGCACACCAUAAUCUUGUGUGUCAAGCUAAUGAACAUUGAAAUGAAUCGAUGAAACAGCUGUUUCCAAUGAAGUAAACAUCAGAGUGUUAUGUAAAUGGCAAUUCCUACACAGCACCAGGUGAUCUGUUUUCUCCUUUGCCCUCAGCAGAGACUGAGGACUGAGAUUACAGGGAGUCGUCUUUAGCUGAAAUUUAAUAAAUCUCUCUAGAAGGUGUCCUCAGUGAAGCCAGAGAGUAAGUUUGCUAACCAUGACCGACUGGAUAUUACAGUGAGCUCACAGCCGUGUAUUUGCCUCUGGUGGGAGGGGAAAGAAUAAAAAAGAAGUGAGCUGGCCCAGGCCUGCUCUUGGCAUGUUGGGACUCAGGGCAGGCGUGCAAAUGGAGAUCUAAAGGACAUAGGUCUUUAGAAGUUGUAAACAAGAUUCACAAACAUUUAGAUAAAAUUAUUUCUUUAUACUUUUCUCUUGACAAACAGAACUUCAUAUUAUCCUGGAAGGCCAGGUUCAAGGUUAAAGUUCUUUGAUUUAUUUAAUUCUGUGCUGAUGGUAGAAGGGCCCAGACUCCAGCCUGUUGCUUGAUAUUCCUUUUUCCAUUUUCAGUUCUUUUCUACACAAAGAGCAGAUAUCCCAGCUUGCAUAUCCAAGCUCCAUUUACACCCCUUAAACUACUGCCUCAUCUUUGGGUUUGCACAUUAUUGGUGUGGCAUCCUGGGGAGAUUAGAUCCAGGGCUCAAGAUCAUUUGGGCAAGCAGUUCUGAAGUCCUAAAUAAUUAAAACUUGGUCUAGAAGAGAGGACAUAAGCUUUUGGUGGUAAAGUUCUUUUGGCAUGUGGAGAGAGACGUGGCUGGAAAAGUCUCAUUCUCUUAUCUAAGGACAGUAGUGAAUUUGUCUCAACUAUGAAAUUCCUUAAUUUAUGUCAUGAUGUAGCUUUUCUUUUCUCUGCAUUAGUGUAUGCUGAGCCUUUCCAUACUCUGUUGGUUGAUUAGCUCUUAGCCACCUGGAAAUUUAUUCAGUGUCCUUUGGUUUUAUCACAACUGAAGAAAAUGGGACUUCUCACAUUCUCGUAAAAUGUAGCAAGCAGUAUUUUAAAAGCAUAGGCUUAGUCUCAUGCUCUCUCAUUUAAAAGCUGUGUGACAUCAGGCUAUUUAGUUACUUCUUGGAAUCUUAUAAUGGGAGUACUAACCCUUAGUUUGUAAGGAGAAAGUGAGAAAAAAGGUCACAUAGUGAAUGCCACGUAAUAGACAUGCAGUAAUAGUUAAUAGUAAUGUUAGUUGUUAUUGCUGUUUUGUUAUUAUAGUUACUGGUCAACAAUGAGGAUUAAGGAGUUCAACUACCUGAACUUGAAUCAUUGCAUUUUUGUGAUACUUAUUGUGUAACCAAAGGCAUAUUAUUGAACCUAUAAAUGCCUGUGUUUCUUCUUUCAUAAACUGGAGAUAAUAAUUGAUUGUACUUCACAGGAUUGUUGUAUUAGUCGGAGUUCUCCAUUGAAACAUAAGUAGUAGGAGAUGUGUGUUUGUGUAUGUGUAUAAUAUAGUUUUAUUAUAGAGAUUGGCUCACAUGGUGAUAGAGGCAGAGAAGUCCUGUGAUCUGAGGUCUGCCAUUGUGCAAGCUGGAGAACAAGAAAAGCCAGUGGUAUAAUUCAGUCCAAAGCCAAAGGCCUGCACGUUAGGGAGGUGAUGGCGUAAGUCCUGAUCUGAGUCCAAAAGCCCGAGAACCAGGGGUGCCAACGUCCAAGAGUAGGAGGAAAUUGAUGUCUCAGCCCAAGCAGAGAGACGGAUUUGCUCUUCCUCCAUCUUUUUGUUCUGCUUGGGUUGGAUGAUGCGCACAUUGGUGAAAGUGAACUUUAUUCAGUCUGUGGUUGCAUUGCUAAUCCCUCUGGAGAUGCUUUCACAGAUGUACAUAGAAAUAAUGUUUUACUAGUCACCUGGGAAUCCUUCAGCCCAUCACGUUGACACAUAAAAUUAGUUUUCACAGUUAUGGUUAAGAUGAAAUGAUAUCAUACAUGGAAAGUGGUUAGACAUAUGCACCCAGUACCCACUCAGUAUUAAUUAUCGUCAUCCCUCUCAAGCUUUGAAGCGGACCUCAAGCUUUGGUUUUGGUGGGAGGAAUGUGUCUGUGGAAAGAGCAGCUCUCUUACAGGGUGAGUCAGAACACUUCAAGCAUCUUUCCUACUUAAGCCUUUUUCCUUUUUUUUAAGUCAAAUCUUUCUAAGUCAGAAGUUUUUUCCCCUGUACCUAUGAAGAAGGAUAGCUGAUUUAAGAGAAAGGACACAAAACUAGUGAGCAUUUUUGAAGCUGGAACCGCUAAAUAGCAGGUACAACAUCUAUUUUGAUGAACUUGCUGUCAUUUCAUUUGAUUCAAGCUUCUGUUUACUUUCAUCUGAGGGUGAUUUUGUUUUUUUCCCUUAGGCAUUCAACAACAUUUUUCAAGGAUACAGCAGCAGGAGGGUGUGAAUUCACCUUCUGGAUACCUAGAUCUGAAAUGUUAAUUAUGUGAAAUGCAUAGGUUGUCCUUUAUAAGAAAAUUUGUUUUUACUGUAACAGUAGGUGAGGAUAAAAAUUAAUUUGUAUAACCCACCACUCUUAUUCAGGAAGUCCUUGGGAAUAAGGGCAGGAUGUUUUGCUUGGCCUGAGGCGAUUGGUCUGAAUCCAUUGAAGAGAGCCCAGCCAGUGUGGAAAGCAUCCAGUAAGCACAGCCUUCUUUAUCUAAAACUGUAAUCCAACAGCCUAAGCCAAAUAACAGUGAACUAAUUUGAAACACAGUGGAAGAGUUUUUUUCCUUGACUUUUGUUUAAAGUUCCAAAUAUUUCUUCUCUAUCAAUGGAAGAACACACGAGUUAAGUGAAUGAGUGGGCCAGAACAAAUAUUUUCAGAAUGGAGAUAGAAUUCUGGCACUUAUUUUUAAAAAGCGCAAAGUGUUCUAUUUCCUAGUUUGUUUAUAGAAUAUGGAAUUCUAUAACUUUUUUUAGAAAUAACUAUCUGGUGAUAUUGAAGUGCAGGGGCUGAAAUCUGGGAGGAGGGCUUGGUGUGUUCAAAACUAUGCAACUCAUUGAUGAUAAAAAAGGGAUUGAAAAUCAAGGUGCCAUGUCUUUAAUUUCAAUCCAGUGUUUUUAAUAUUCAAAGCCUAUUUUGUAAGGCAUUAAGUUUAAUGUAAGCAUUCUCAGUAUAAUAUGUAUCUUGGAAAUGAAUAAACCCUUAUUAAAUAAACCAAUGGGGUUAACGCUUUUGGUAGUGACUUCUGCAGAUAUCUCAUGGUUUAGGAAUGAGAAUCAGUGGCUGGACUUCUAAGGAGGCGUGUAGACUUGAUCUGUAUUUUCCACCAAAGGGCCAUUUUUGACUUGAGGAAAGCCAACCUAAACAAGUAACUUUAGAGGCUGAGAAACAAACAGGGAACUAGCAUAGGUCUGAUCAGAGGCGCUCUCCAUCAUCCUUUGUUGUUGUUAUUGUCGCUUUUUAGGGCUGCACCUGAGGCAUAUGGAAGUUCCCAGG